RNAcentral lists this long non-coding RNA (270 nucleotides) under Mytilus galloprovincialis (Mediterranean mussel). Lineage: Eukaryota; Metazoa; Mollusca; Bivalvia; Mytilida; Mytilidae. The record is from RNAcentral.
UAUUGUUCAAUAUUGUGCAAUUAGAUAUUUCUUGCUAUUGCGCAAUACUGUGCAAUUGAAAAUACUUGCUAUUGCACAAUACUGUACAAUUGAAGAUUUCUUGCUAUUGCGCAAUACUGUGCAAUUGAAAAUUUCUUGCUAUUGCACACUACUGUGCAAUUGAAGAUUGCUUGCUAUUGCUGAAUACUGUGCAAUUGAAAAUUUCUUGCUAUUGCACAAUACUUAGUAUAAUAAUUUUGGAUCCUGAUUUGGACCAACUUGAAAACUGGG